Molecule: unclassified non-coding RNA, 317 nt
Organism: Papio anubis (olive baboon)
Lineage: Eukaryota; Metazoa; Chordata; Mammalia; Primates; Cercopithecidae
Rfam family: Metazoan signal recognition particle RNA
About the family: The signal recognition particle (SRP) is a universally conserved ribonucleoprotein. It is involved in the co-translational targeting of proteins to membranes.
Source: Ensembl
GCUGGGUGUGGUGGUGGACACCUGUAAUCCCAGCUACACGGGAGGCUGAGGUGGGAGAAUCGCUUGAACCUGGGAGGUGGAGGUUGCAGUGAGCUGAGAUUGUGCCACUGCACUCCAGCCUGGGUGACAAAGUGAGACUCCGUCUCAAAAAAAAAAAAAAAAAGAUGUUCAUUUGUGCUUUAUUAUUUAUAAUAACAAAUAUAAUUUUUUUUUUUUAAGAUGAAGUCUCCCUCUGUCCCCCAGGCUAGAGUGCAGUGGUGCGACGGCAGCUCACUGCAACCUCUGCCUCCCAGGUUCAAGCGAUUCUCCUGCCUCAG